AGCCAUUUGACUCCAAUCAAGAAGGGUGUCUGCCAGUGUUAGUUUCUUUAGCUUUGGUGGAAAUUUAUACCUUUGGGGAAGGCCAGCUAGUUUGCCUUCCGAAGGAGGCAAAGGAAAUACAUCAUUUAAUAGCUUCAAAUUUUCAAGGUAAUCCAAUUUUCCCAGGCUAUCAAACAAACUCGACACACCUUUGGAUUCCAAAAGUUUAGCUAAUUUGCCACGAAUACCCAAUUUCUUUAGGUUUGGAGCUCUGGCAAAUACAUCUUCUGUACAACUUUCAGGUGAGAUUGUAGAAAUUGUUUUUAGGUUAGCAUUUAUCAGGGAAUCAUCUUUACUUUUUCUUGAUUUAGCAAGAGGACCUGGUAAAGAUGUGGACGCGUUUGUUUUUAGAUGCCUCAAUUGAAUCAUCUUCCAUAUAUCUCCUUUGAUUUCAAGGGUUCGUUCUGAAGUCUCAACUAUAAGAGUUUGCAUGUUCCAAAGGCUAGAAAUGGGAGAAGGAAGGAUCUUGAAAUUGCUGGACAGAACAAGAUACCUCAAAUGAACGAGUUGAGCUAGAUCAGUAGGAAAACGAGUGAAAAAAAUGGGUUUAGCAUCUAAAACCCUGAGCAAUUUAAAUGCUCCAGGGAUGGAGGAAGUGUGUUCAGCUUGCAGAAUAAUUUCUUCAGAAGAGAAACACAAGAAAGACCGAACACGUGGACCAAAUGGUUUUGAAGAGAUAUAACUCCAAACACGGGAAUGAAUGCAAAGGCGACGAUACGAUUCCAAGUAAGGAUUGGAAGACGAAUAGGUAACUUGAUCAAACCGUUUAAUUUCUUGGAAGAAGUUUUCCUCUGCAGCUUGAUUCUUGCAGAACACGUGUAGCAUGUCAUGAACAUGGCAUGUUUUAACUUUUCCAUUUGACCUCCGUUCUCCAACCAUGACUAAAUUCCUGUUGACAAGAUCGUCUAAGUACUCCUCUGCAAUAUCCUCCAAGCUCAUUCCCUCCUUUUGUUGUAUGAAUCCUUCAGCGAUCCAGAGACGAACCAAUUUCCACACUGGGAUUUGGCAAUCUUCUGGAAACAUCCCGAAGUAGAGAAAGCAUGCUCUCAAGUAAUAAGGUAAGUGAUUAAAACUCAAAGUUAUAAAACUGUCCAUACGUUUCUCCUGAUCCAUGGCAAUAUACGCAUCCACACUUUGAGCAACCUUUUCCCACCAAUAACUUUCAGUACCUUUUUCCAAUAGAAUUCCUCCAAUCACCACUAGUGCGAGCGGUAGUCCGCCACAUUCUCUGGCUAUAAGCCUUCCAGGUUGUAUCAACUCCUUAGGGCAUUCCUCUGCACCAAGUGCCUUUCUUUGGAGUAAUAUCCAACUUUCAUCAGAAUUUAGAAAACGCAAAUUAUGGGGCUCCCUGUUGGGGUUGGCAUGCACAGCCACUCUCCUGAUACGACUAGUCAGUAAUAUUUUGCUUCGCUUCUUAUUUCUGGGAAAAGCAAUUUUGAGAUCAUUCCAGGCAUCUUCAGUCCAGACAUCAUCCAUGACAAUUAAAUACUUCCCUUUCUCCAGGAAUUCACGAAGUUCCUUAGCUAUUUUUUCAUCAUUCAUCUUAUACAUCUCAUCACUUGGCUUAGCAAAAUGACUCCAAAUAUUGAGAAACACUUCCUUUCUAUUAUAUUCUUGAGAAACAUAAACCCAUGCUCGGUUAUAGAAUUCAUAUUCAAUUUUAGGAUCACGAUAUAUCAUUUUUGCCAGUGUUGUCUUUCCAAGGCCAGGCAUGCCAAUAAUUGAUAUAACUUCGAGUUCAUCAGGUCCUCCCAUGAGUAGAUUAGUAACAGUUUUUGCCUCAUCUUCAAAUCCCACCACAUUGUCUUCCUCUACAAUGGGAGCCUAUAUUAUAGUGAAAAAUGUUUAUUUCAGAAUCACAAAUAAUUAAAGAAUUGAUUUAAGGUUGUUCAUCUAAUUCUACUCAAUAUCUGAAAUAUCUAAAAGAUGAGUUCCUACCUUUUAGCUGGUGUCAUUUGAGAAUUUCAGAAAGUUCUCAGUUAUACAUUUCGGAAAAAUUUUACGCACUAGACUACAAAUAAGUUUCAAUAGUAUGCAAGAUAAUAGCAAGAAAACUCCUGCCUGCAGAACUUGUUAUCUUGGACUUCUACUUCGUACAACAGAAUUCAGAAUCACAUUAAGGAAUAUGAUUCAUGUCCAUACUUAGCGAUGGAGCAUGUAAAAAGAUAAGUUUUAUGUACAUUCAGAAAAAAGAAACUUGGAAAUCCUAACAAUUGUUUGACAUACCAGUUUAGUAAUAAAAAGGAAAGUUUUUUAUGGUGCACCAAUUUUGAAGAAUUAAUUCAAUCUGGAUCUUCAUAUAAAAUUUUGCUCCUUGAGUUCUCAAUGGUAGUACAAUUAUGAAGCCAGGAGAGUAACUAGAUUAAAAAAUGUUUUACCUGUGAAGGAAGCAUUUUUGAGCUCGAAGGAAUGGAGGUCAUUGAUCUGGAGGAUAAACGGAGAGCUUAAAUACAAUGCCUUUGUUGCCUUGCUUCUCAGCCUCAUCUUUCAUCGUUUUCUUAUACUGCUGGAUUUUCCGGGCAGAAGCAGCAGCUGAUUUGGUGGUACAGUACAAGUCAAUUAUCUGGAGGCUUAAAACAUCUGCAAGGCUGACUGGGACUGCUUCGAGGCUAGUGCAGUGUUUAAGAUAAAGACUCCUGAGUCUUGGGAAGUGAUGAGUCAAAGCAUGCCAAUGAACUAAAUCUGUCCUUCCAAUAAACAAGACUUUGAGAGCACGGAAACCUCCAUCCUCCGGCUGCCACCACUCUCCCUUAAAUGCAUUGUCUUUCAACUUUAGGAUCUCAAGGCUUUCCAACAUUCCCAAUGUAGCCAUUUGACUCCAAUCAAGAAGGGUGUCUGCCAGUGUUAGUUUCUUUAGCUUUGGUGGAAAUUUAUACCUUUGGGGAAGGCCAGCUAGUUUGCCUUCCGAAGGAGGCAAAGGAAAUACAUCAUUUAAUAGCUUCAAAUUUUCAAGGUAAUCCAAUUUUCCCAGGCUAUCAAACAAACUCGACACACCUUUGGGUUCCAAAAGUUUAGCUAAUUUGCCACGAAUACCCAAUUUCUUUAGGUUUGGAGCUCUGGCAAAUACAUCUUCUGUACAACUUUCAGGUGAGAUUGUAGAAAUUGUUUUUAGGUUAGCAUUUAUCAGGGAAUCAUCUUUACUUUUUCUUGAUUUAGCAAGAGGACCAUGUAAAAAUGUGG
RNAcentral lists this long non-coding RNA (3219 nucleotides) under Olea europaea (common olive). RNAcentral describes it as "long non-coding RNA (OEUR_LNC008925)". The record is from RNAcentral. Lineage: Eukaryota; Viridiplantae; Streptophyta; Magnoliopsida; Lamiales; Oleaceae.